ACGACUAAAACUAUAUAACUAUGUACCGGGGGACUUUGGGGAGAAAAAGGAAAAAUAAAAUCUUUAAAAGAGAAUGUAUUUAGGGGCCUGCCUGGUGGCACAGCAGUUAAGCAAGCACAUUCCGCUUCUAUAGCCCGGGGCUGGCUGGUUCGGAUCCCGGGUGCAGACAUGGCACCGCUUGGCACGCCAUGCUGUGGUAGGCAUCCCACAUAUAAAGUAGAGGAAGAUGGGCAUGGAUGUUAGCUCAGAGCCAGCCUUCCUCAGCAAAAAGAGGAGGAUUGGCAGCAGUUAGCUCAGGGCUAAUCAUCCUCAAAAGAAAAAAAAAGAAUGUAUUUGAAUGUGACAAGAGUAGAAAAGGUGCAUAGAUGUUUCAGAUUCCACGUUGCAAUUAACCUUUGAGAAACUGUCACUUGUACAUUUUGUUAUAGUAAAAGAAUGCCCUGGAUGGGGCCUCACCUUGUCCUGUGAGCAGCCCAUGCAAGUCAGGGUACCCCUGGUGCUUAGGGUGCCCACCACGCCCACAUACAUCCCCUCAGGCCUGGACCAUGGUGCAGCGCUGGUACAUGAACCAGUCCCAGGACGACUUGACGUGGUCCCACAGCCUGGAGCCACUGCUGCCCGCUGUGCCUGGAGCAGCUGUGCCAGCUCAGAGUCCUUUACUGGAAGCUGACAAAUAUGAGAAUGAUCCAGAAUUAGAACAGAUCCGAAAAGAGGAACUACUCCUAGAUGGACAUAAGAGCCAUAUGCAAAGAUAAACUGCCAAAUUGUGAAAAAAAGAUGGAGGUGUUUUAUGAGGAAGGAGCAUCUGCACUCGGAUGUAAGAUUUGCUGCAUCCUGGAGGGCAGCGGACACUUUGAUGUAAGAGGACUAGUGGAUCCAGAUUUUCAUGGAGAAAGGAGACAUGAUAACUCUUCUUGCAGGAAUUUAUCACUGCUUCACGGUGGAUGAGAAGAACUACAUGACGCCAUGUGGCUGUUUGUGGGAGGAGCAGUGUGGACCUCGUACAACUGGCCAGCUGACCAUUUCUAGGCUCAAGCACGUGAAAUUUUUGGCAUAGACAACAUAUUGAUGCUUCCUGGGAGCUAACACACCCUUUGUAAAGAUCCCAAACGUGAUAACUGAGCAGAAAAUCAAUCACUUUCUCUUUGCUUUUAUAUCGUAGGCUUAAAGCUAGAUUAUCUUUCUUUUGCAAGAUUAUUUGAUCAGACUUUUUUUUUUUUUUUUUGAGGAAGAUUAGCCCUGAGCUAACUACUGCCAAUCCCCCUCUUUUUGCUGAGGAGGACUGACCCUGAGCUAACAUCCAUGCCCAUCUUCCUCUACUUUAUAUGUGGGACACCUACCACAGCAUGACUCAAAUGAAAGUUUUAUCUCCUGAAAUGUAACUGCUUAGAUGCUCUAUCUGGACAUGAUUCUUAGACUUUGAACCAGCUUAUCAGUCAAUGCCAUGCCUGCCUUAUAAGAAGCUUGUGGUAUAAGAAAUAUAUUGGGUCUUUGUCCCUGGUUCCUGGCACAGAGCUACUAAAACCCUCGGAAUUUCCUAAGUGACAGGAGUGGCCUUUGUUAUUCAUAAGCAGCCCCUUUGAGCAUCCCUGUUCCACUGAGACUGAAGCUCCUGUGCUCAGGACCCUUCUGGACCUCGCUCUGUGUCCUUCCUCAUCUGGCUGUUCGUCUGUGUCCUUUAUAAUAAAUGAGUAAAUGUAAAUCCAGGUUUCCCUGAGUUUUGUGACCUGUUCUAGCGAACUAUGGGCCCCGAUGAGGGGGUCAUGGGAACCCCCAAUUUAUAGCCAGUCAGUCAGAAGUACAAUUGUCCUGGAUUUGCAAUUGGCAUCAGUCUUAUGGGGCUGAGCCCUUAAUUUGUAGGAUCUGAGGCUAACUCCAGGUAGAUGGUGUCAGAAUUGAGUUAAAUUGUAGGACAUUCAUUCCUCCUGAGAAUUGGAGAAUUGCUUGGUGUGGGAAAACUAACUAGAAAGGUGUAAUGGUAGAUGAUAUUACUAACCAGAUAGAAGACACUUUUUUCUCCCAAAAUUAUGCCUCGGAGUGAGGAGUAGUAAGGGGGAAGAGCUCUCCUAUUAGGGCACACUCUCAGUGGCAUAUGCCACAUGCCACUUGCAACUUGCCUGUUCAAAAUAAAGAAACUGCCUUAAUUUAAAUUUGUAAAAAGGCCACCUGUGUCUGGCCCCCCUCCUGCUGCACUGAAACCUCAAAUUCCACAGACUUUGCAUGAGGGCUCUAAUUCUGUACGCUGCGUGUGCUUGUUUUCUCAUCUCUUAUUCUUUUUAAAUUCAUGCUUAACUACUCUGGGAGAGAAGAGCUGUAAACAGUUUUAAUUAAACCAUACUUAUAGAAACCGACUUUCUUAUACUCUAUGCUUUUGGCAUUGCUGUUCUUGAAAAAUUAAAAGGUCUUUGAUAAAUGGGGGGGGGAGAAUAUCCUCAGUAUCUGAAACAGCUGUAAAAAUACUCCUUUCUUUUCCUUUCCCAACUACAUGUCUCUGUGAGGCUGGAUUUUCUUCAUAUACUUCAACCAAAACAAACUUCAGCAGCAAACUGAAUGCAGAAGCGAGCGCGAGAAUCCAGCUACUGCCAGUAAGUCAGACACAAAGAGAUAUGCAAAAACAUAAACAAAGCAACGCUUCUCGCAGGAGGUGAUGCUUUCUCCAGGUUCUAAGGACAGCGCAUCAUGGCCACCCAAUAAAAGGUGCACGAGGUGUCUCUGGAUUUCUUUCCACCAUAUAGGUUACAAGAUGCAGUCAGCUGUCUGCAACCUGGAAGAAGGUUCUCACCAGGGCCAGCCCUGGUGGCCUAGUGGUUAAGUUCAGCGUGUUCUGCUUUGGCAGCCGGGGUUUGGUUCCCCACUGAAGACCUACACCACUUGUCGGUCAGCGGCCAUGCUGUGGCGGCGACUCACAUCGAAAAAGAGGAAGAUUGGCAACAGAUGUUAGCUGAGGGCAAAUCUUCCUCAGGAAAAAAAAAAAAAAGAGGGUUCUCACUAAACACAGAAUCAGUCAGUGCCUUGAUCUUGGAAUUCCCAGCCUCCAGAGCCAUGAGAAAUAAAUGUUUGUUGUUUAAGCUGUU
Molecule: long non-coding RNA, 3074 nt
Organism: Equus quagga
Lineage: Eukaryota; Metazoa; Chordata; Mammalia; Perissodactyla; Equidae
Exons: 2
Source: RefSeq, a predicted model, not a curated record